RNAcentral lists this transfer RNA (73 nucleotides) under Canis lupus familiaris (dog). It matches the Rfam family "tRNA". From Rfam's summary of the family: Transfer RNA (tRNA) molecules are approximately 80 nucleotides in length. RNAcentral also lists the same sequence under 2 other names. Lineage: Eukaryota; Metazoa; Chordata; Mammalia; Carnivora; Canidae. The record is from Rfam by way of RNAcentral.
GCCUGGCUGGCUCAGGCAGAAAAGCAUCCAAAUUUUGAUCUUGGGGUUGUGGGUUUGAGUCCCACGCUGGGUG